This 497-nucleotide ribosomal RNA is filed under the name uncultured bacterium. Its description in RNAcentral is "partial 16S ribosomal RNA". It matches the Rfam family "Bacterial small subunit ribosomal RNA", at positions 28 to 507 of the family's 1533-position model. The record is from RNAcentral.
GAUGAACGCUGGCGGCGUGCCUAAUACAUGCAAGUAGAACGCUGAAGGAAGGAGCUUGCUCUUUCCGGAUGAGUUGCGAACGGGUGAGUAACGCGUAGGUAACCUGCCUGGUAGCGGGGGAUAACUAUUGGAAACGAUAGCUAAUACCGCAUAACAGUAGAUGUUGCAUGAUAUCUACUUAAAAGGUGCAAUUGCACCACUACCAGAUGGACCUGCGUUGUAUUAGCUAGUUGGUGAGGUAACGGCUCACCAAGGCGACGAUACAUAGCCGACCUGAGAGGGUGAGCGGCCACACUGGGACUGAGACACGGCCCAGACUCCUACGGGAGGCAGCAGUAGGGAAUCUUCGGCAAUGGACGGAAGUCUGACCGAGCAACGCCGCGUGAGUGAAGAAGGUUUUCGGAUCGUAAAGCUCGGUUGUAAGAGAAGAACGAGUGUGAGAGUGGAAAGUUCACAAUGUGACGGUAACUGACCAGAAAGGGACGGCUAACUACGUG